RNAcentral lists this ribosomal RNA (760 nucleotides) under Rhodobryum ontariense. RNAcentral's name for it is "partial 26S ribosomal RNA". It matches the Rfam family "Eukaryotic large subunit ribosomal RNA", at positions 40 to 791 of the family's 3401-position model. Lineage: Eukaryota; Viridiplantae; Streptophyta; Bryopsida; Bryales; Bryaceae. The record is from RNAcentral.
AUAUCACUAAGCGGAGGACAAGAAACUAACCAGGAUUUCCCUAGUAACGGCGAGCGAACCGGAAAGAGCCCAGCUUGAAAAUCGGGGCGCCUCGCGCCCCGAAUUGUAGUCUGGAGAAGGUCCCUCUGCGGCGCGCCGGACCCAAGUUCCCUGGAAAGGGACGUCUUAGAGGGUGAAAACCCCGUUCGAGUCCGGGACUUUGCCGCUCCACGAGAACCUGUCUGCGAGUCGGACUGUUUGGGAAUGCAGUCCUAAGCGGGUGGUAAAUUCCAUCCAAGGCUAAAUAUUGGCAAGAGACCGAUAGCGAACAAGUACCGCGAGGGAAAGAUGAAAAGGACUUUGAAAAGAGAGUUAAAAGUGCUUGAAAUUGCUGGGAGGGAAGCGAAUGGAAGCUGCGGGUGCGCCCCGGUUGGAUGUGGAACGGCCCUCGGGCUGGUCCGCCGCUCAACGCGGGGCGCUGGUCAGCGUGGGCUGCCGCGGCGGGACAAGUGCGGGAAACCGUUUCCCGCCCCAUGCCGUUGCGGCGGCCGAGGAACGAAGCGCGCGCCCCCCUUCUCGGAGGGGGGCGUGGUCCACCCAACUGCGCGCUCGGGACGCUGGCGUAUUGAGCUCUUCAUCCGACCCGUCUUGAAACACGGACCAAGGAGUCUAACAUGUAUGCGAGCCGGUGGGCGGCAAACCCAUUGAGGCGCAAGGAACCUGACAGGUGGGAGCCCGAGAGGGCGCACCAUCGACCGACCGUGAUCUUCUGUGAAGGGUC